AUACGGAGGAUGCAAGCGUUAUCCGGAUUUAUUGGGUUUAAAGGGUGCGUAGGCGGAUGAUUAAGCGUGAGGUGAAAUGCCACUGCUCAACAGUGGAACUGCCUCGCGAACUGGUUGUCUUGAAUGCUCCUGCCGUGGGAGGAAUGUGUGGUGUAGCGGUGAAAUGCAUAGAGAUCACACAGAACACCGAUUGCGAAGGCAUCUCAAGAAAGGGUGAAUGACGCUGAGGCACGGAAGCGUGGGGAUCAAACAAGAUUAGAUUCCCUGGUAGUCUACGCAGUAAACGAUGAUAACUAACCGCUGGGUCGUAGUGAUUCAGUGGCCAAGCGAAAGCGAUAAGUUAUCCACCUGGGGAGUACGACCGCAAGGUUGAAACUCAAAGGAAUUGACGGGG
Molecule: ribosomal RNA, 394 nt
Filed under: uncultured bacterium
Lineage: Bacteria
Description: partial 16S ribosomal RNA
Rfam family: Bacterial small subunit ribosomal RNA
Source: RNAcentral